This 532-nucleotide ribosomal RNA is filed under the name Anaplasma bovis. RNAcentral describes it as "bacterial SSU rRNA". It matches the Rfam family "Bacterial small subunit ribosomal RNA", at positions 76 to 644 of the family's 1533-position model. The record is from RNAcentral. Lineage: Bacteria; Pseudomonadati; Pseudomonadota; Alphaproteobacteria; Rickettsiales; Anaplasmataceae.
CUUCUAUGAGAACAAUUAGUGGCAGACGGGUGAGUAAUGCAUAGGAAUCUACCUAGUAGUAUAGGAUAGCCACUAGAAAUGGUGGGUAAUACUGUAUAAUCCCUGCGGGGGAAAGAUUUAUCGCUACAUGAUGAGCCUAUGUUAGAUUAGCUAGUUGGUGGGGUAAUGGCCUACCAAGGCAGUGAUCUAUAGCUGGUCUGAGAGGAUGAUCAGCCACACUGGAACUGAGACACGGUCCAGACUCCUACGGGAGGCAGCAGUGGGGAAUAUUGGACAAUGGGCGCAAGCCUGAUCCAGCUAUGCCGCGUGAGUGAGGAAGGCCUUAGGGUUGUAAAACUCUUUCAGUGGGGAAGAUAAUGACGGUACCCACAGAAGAAGUCCCGGCAAACUCCGUGCCAGCAGCCGCGGUAAUACGGAGGGGGCAAGCGUUGUUCGGAAUUAUUGGGCGUAAAGGGCAUGUAGGUGGUUUGGUAAGUUAAAGGUGAAAUGCCAGGGCUUAACCCUGGAGCUGCUUUUAAUACUGCCAGACUGG